Molecule: long non-coding RNA, 1030 nt
Organism: Lineus longissimus
Lineage: Eukaryota; Metazoa; Nemertea; Pilidiophora; Heteronemertea; Lineidae
Exons: 4
Source: RefSeq, a predicted model, not a curated record
GCUAGGUUAUUGCGCCCCUAAACCAACGUACUGACAACGCUACCUCCCCGGAACUCAAACUUUAACUGAACAGUGAUCACGGGCUGUGGGAAUUGCGAAGGGAUGGUGUAGAGUAUCGCCACAACAAUGUUGAUAUGAUCACUCGUCGUUUCAGCGGGCAUGACUUGGUACAUCCAGUGACCCAGCAAGUAGCCUCGGUACAGCCAGAAGUAGCAACAAAUCGCAAAAGGGGAUCCUUGUCUGACUGGUGGCUGGACCACAAUGACACUUGUUGGAAAAGGAAGGACCAAAGGUGCCAUCGUCGAGGGCCCAGAUAGAUGAAGAGAUUGAAGCCUGGGCUGCACACAAUCCUAAAAUCUAGGAAGAAGUCGCCACCCACUGAUGAUCUCAUCCAAGUUUACCAAAGACUCCAAAGCAGUGUAGGAGAGGAAUGGUGGCCUGUUCGAACAGGCAUGGAUUGAAUCGCCAGCUCUCAUCUCCCUAGUCACUCCGAUGGCCACGUGUCGCUCCUCGAUCAACAGCGAUUUCAAUGAAUGAUGCCAGUCCUCGUUUGAUUUUUAGCCGUAGCACUAGCAGCCAAUAGCUGGUCUCAAAUCAUCCACAACAAUCAACAGAACAUUGGGUUUCUGGGAAUGUGCGAUACCUGAAACAAAUGCCAACACAACCGAGAUGAAAGUGGAUACAGAAUUGUGACAAAGAUACUGAUGAUAACAUCACACAUGCCAAUGGAGUAUUUAAUUGUGCUGGCUCCUCAAUUAGAAAUUACUCGAAGAGAAAUUUAUCCAAGAGACAUCUCCAAUAAUCAUAUGGGCAGUCUCAUCAGUCAGUCGGUCCUAAAGACAUUUCUAAUAAACAUGGGGACAAUCUCUUCCGAGUGGUAAUCUGUCCAAUUGACCACGACCAAGUAUCUGAUUUAUAGUAGGGGCCUAUAUGUAGACUAGGCCUGUGGUCUGCUGGUAUGACCCAUAUUUUGGGUAUUGUAAAAUUGUUAUGACAAAUAUAUUAAAAAACUCUUACAUAAGAAUAUUAA